This 94-nucleotide transfer RNA is filed under the name Gemmatimonadota bacterium. RNAcentral describes it as "Gemmatimonadetes bacterium tRNA-Sec". It matches the Rfam family "Selenocysteine transfer RNA". The record is from RNAcentral. Lineage: Bacteria; Pseudomonadati; Gemmatimonadota.
GGGGGCGGCUCGGGUCUGGUGGUCCGACUGGUCUUCAAAACCAGUUGGGGCUCGCAUGAGCCUCGGUAGGUUCGAUUCCUACACGCCCCCGCCA